GAAUUGCAGAAUUCAGUGAAUCAUUGAAUCUUUGAACGCAUCUUGCACCUUUUGGUAUUCCAAAAGGUACACCUGUUUGAGUGUCAU
This 87-nucleotide ribosomal RNA is filed under the name Puccinia arenariae. RNAcentral's name for it is "partial 5.8S ribosomal RNA". It matches the Rfam family "5.8S ribosomal RNA", at positions 69 to 154 of the family's 154-position model. From Rfam's summary of the family: 5.8S ribosomal RNA (5.8S rRNA) is a component of the large subunit of the eukaryotic ribosome. Lineage: Eukaryota; Fungi; Basidiomycota; Pucciniomycetes; Pucciniales; Pucciniaceae. The record is from RNAcentral.